GCCAGCCCGCUCAGAAACUUAAAGGAAGUUGACGGGGGCCCGCGACAAGCGGUGGAGCAUGUGGUUUAAUUCGAUGAUACGCGAGGAACCUUACCUGGGUCUCGAACGUAAGAUGACUGUAGGUGAAAGCUUACAUCUCUUCGGAGCAUUUUACGAGGUGCUGCAUGGUUGUCGUCAGCUCGUGCCGUGAGGUGUCGGGUUAAGUCCCAUAACGAGCGCAACCCCUACCUUUAGUUGCCAUCAGGUUAAGCUGGGGACUCUAAAGGAACUGCCUACGCAAGUAGUGAGGAAGGCGGGGAUGACGUCAAAUCAGCACGGCCCUUACGUCCAGGGCUACACACGUGCUACAAUGGCCGAUACAGAGGGCAGCUACCUGGUGACAGGAUGCAAAUCUCCAAAGUCGGUCUCAGUUCGGAUCGGAGUCUGCAACCCGACUCCGUGAAGUUGAAUUCGCUAGUAAUCGCGCAUCAGCCAUGGCGCGGUGAAUACGUUCCCGGGCCUU
This 502-nucleotide ribosomal RNA is filed under the name uncultured Sphingobacteriales bacterium. RNAcentral's name for it is "bacterial SSU rRNA". It matches the Rfam family "Bacterial small subunit ribosomal RNA", at positions 903 to 1382 of the family's 1533-position model. Lineage: Bacteria; Pseudomonadati; Bacteroidota; Sphingobacteriia; Sphingobacteriales. The record is from RNAcentral.